Molecule: transfer RNA, 72 nt
Filed under: Osteochilus hasseltii (silver sharkminnow)
Lineage: Eukaryota; Metazoa; Chordata; Actinopteri; Cypriniformes; Cyprinidae
Description: tRNA-Trp
Rfam family: tRNA
About the family: Transfer RNA (tRNA) molecules are approximately 80 nucleotides in length. Their secondary structure includes four short double-helical elements and three loops (D, anti-codon, and T loops).
Source: RNAcentral
AGGGACUUAGGAUAACAUUCAGACCAAAAGCCUUCAAAGCUUUAUGUAGAAGUGAGAAUCUUCUAGCCCCUG